Oncorhynchus masou masou (cherry salmon) is the source of this 7651-nucleotide long non-coding RNA. RefSeq lists it as uncharacterized. The transcript has 2 exons. The record is from RefSeq and is a predicted model, not a curated record. NCBI's taxonomy places the organism in Eukaryota, Metazoa, Chordata, Actinopteri, Salmoniformes, Salmonidae.
GAAAUGUUAAUUCUUAUGCAGGUGACCAACUUACUGCUAUUGCCUUGCUGUAACUGAGACAACACAUAGCAACGUAUUUUCACAGACUCACUUAAAUCAUCCUCAACACUGUCAAAAUAGGAUACAUCCUAGCCACAGGUGCUAGCCUUCAGUUCGGCCACAACAUCCAGUGAGGACACGAACGCACACACAUUACACACUAACUACCGAGGACAUACAGAUAAGACUCCUACACACAUUGGCAGGGAGAAACAGAAUAGGGAGAGACAACCUUGACUUGCAGAGACAAGCACACACACAUAAUCUCCUCUUAGCUGAACAUUGUGUGACGGGGAAAGGCACGACGAGACUCAGAAGGAUGAUGCACGGCUCAACAGGACCAAUCCAAGAAGACAACACCUCAACUGUGACCAACCAGAACUUCCAGACUCAACCUACUUUCUGUACUGUAUAUAACAUGCUUACACUCUGUUAUCGGGGCUUCUUUCUGAUGGUUCCUUAGGAGCCGAAUGAACGGCCCCGUAUACGCUGUACCAGAUAUCUUUACUCUGAAUAAACUGCCACAUGUUAUACCUUUAUCUCCUCGUCCGAAUCGAUCCUUGACCGACUCGCCUACCUGUGUCUCUCACUUUUAUCAACAGAAUCUUGGUAGCAGAGGAUGGUUUACUAAAGACCCAAAAUCAGGAGAUUGUCGUGAGAGUGCGGAGGCGAAUUGGUGAAAGGACGAUUCAAGGAGGACAGGGGAAGUGAUUCGGGGGAGGACAUCAAUUCUUCUCAACUCGGGAAACUGAUCUCUGGUCGACCACUAAAAAGGUAAGCAAAACCUGUUAAAUCAAACUUUGCAUAUUGUCGUAUAGUUGAAACCAAAUUAAGACCAGUAGUACCGAGUGUGAGUAUGAAUUUUGUGCAAAUUUUAUCAUUAUAAUCAAAUAUGCAGUGAAGUAAACAUAUGUGGUAAAAUAUAAAUUGAGAUGAAAUAGGCUUAAUUUGUGUGGUAGAAUGUAAAUUGAGAUGAAAUAGGCUCAAUUUGUGUGGUAGAAUGUAAAUUGAGAUGAAAUAGGCUCAAUUUGUGUGAUAGAAUGUAAAUUGAGAUGAAAUAGGCUCAAUUUGUGUGAUAGAAUGUAAAUUGAGAUGAAAUAGGCUCAAUUUGUGUGAUAGAAUGUAAAUUGAGAUGAAAUAGGCUCAAUUUGUGUGGUAGAAUGUAAAUUGAGAUGAAAUAGGCUUAAUUUGUGUGGUAGAAUGUAAAUUGAGAUGAAAUAGGCUUAAUUUGUGUUAAAAACACUAUUCAUAUAGUUCGGCUGUGACCGAUGAGGAAUAGGUUUGAUUCGAAAGUGAAUUGAAAUAUGACCGAUAGUUCGUUUGAUACUUGAAUAAGGGGAUUUGCAUACCAUAACUUAGCUCAUGACUGGUUAAAUGCGUUGUAGAGUUGCUACCUUAAUUCUGAGAAGUAUACGAAUGAGGCAUAUGAAUUGUGUGUUAAUUGGUUGACCAACAGACUGGCUGUGACCAGUGAGGUUACUGCUGUACACAGCGUUUCACAAGGUUUUUCAAUUGGGUUACAUGUCUCGAUAAACUCUGGAUAUACGACGGAGAAGCUCUGUGAUAAGACAGAGUACGAGCAAUAGUGUCUCCAAGAAUACAUCACAGUCAUAUGACGGUGACGGGCUAAGUAUAUUCAGAUAGUCUUAAUUUCUUAAAGACACCAUGGCAACUCCGCAACUUCCGAAACUGAAAUUUAAUGACUAUCUAGAUCAACGUAUGCAGGACAGAUCAGGAGGGAAGGAACAGUGGAAACAUAUUAAGAAAGUAUGGGAAGGUUUGAAGUUGAAAUGGACACAGGCAGGUUAUCUAGCAGGGGGGACACCAACCAAGUGUCAGUUGAGUGCUAUGGAAGAAGAGCUGAGGGAGGAAAAAGGUACUUGCUAGUGAUGGUAGAUAGGUUCUCUAGAUGGGUAGAGGCCAUCCCCACAGCGAAGGAAGAUGCGAGAUCUGUCAUUAAGUGGCUUCAGACGGAACUCAUACCCAGGUAUGGAGUUCCGCGGCAAAUCAGAUCCGACAAUGGGUCCCACUUCUCCAAUCAACACCUGAGACAGGUUGAGGAGAGGUUUGGCAUAAUACACAAACUUGGUUCGGUGUAUAAGCCGCAAUCGCAGGAACUUGUGGAACGCUGUAACCAAACUCUGAAAGCUAAGAUAGCUAAAGUUUGUGCAGGAACAAAAUUGACAUGGGUGGAAGCCCUGCCCCUGGCGUUGAUGGCCAUGAGGUCCUCACCAGGAGCAGGGACACAUCUAUCACCCCAUGAGAUAAUGACAGGCCGAGUGAUGCCUGGGCCGCCAAGAGAGGGAGGUCAUAUGCCCCCUCUUGACGUACACCAAAUAAGAAUGUCUGAUUAUGUAAAAAAAUUGACGGAAUUAUCUGCAGCUCUCUCCAAACAGAUACACCGUGCUGCAGAGGGGGAGCUGACUGAUGAACCAGAACGACCAAGGGUAAAAGUUGGUGACUGGGUAAGGAUCAAGAUCCACAAGAGAAAGUGGGCUGAUCCCAGGUGGUCUGGACCGUACGAAGUGAAGGAGGUUACUUCACACUCAGUCCAGGUCAAAGGUAAAUCAGGCGCACCUUGGCACCACCUGACUCAUUGUACACCAGCACCAGCACCUGAUAGAACACUGACUGAAGUCAGAAGCGAUUUGAUCGCAUCUAAUUCGGCUACAAAUUCGGCAGGCCCUGACAACUGAAGAAUGUGGAGGCGACUCCAUUCCUCAGGUGACAGGGAGGGGCACCCGUGGGCUAGACGGAACACAACACCAUGGGGCAGGUUAGGGUGCUCUGCUCCAGUAUUUGUGUUAUUUUUAAUCACCUCAGGGUGCGUGGUGGGAAUCAUGCUUUGGGCUAUAGAACACAUGGUUAGUAAUACUGCUAGAAUAAAUGAUAAGGCCUAUUCCACCACGAACACCACUAAUCCACCUCCCAGCCACGUAGAACACAGCCACAUAAUACACAAGCGGAAUAUUGAGUCUAUAGACCGAAAUUGUACCACCGACUCAGUUAGAAGCACUACUCUAUGCGUUCCGAUUAAUAUUACCACCACCACUGUUACGGUGCCAUGGGGAAUGCUGGAGAGCUCAAGUGCUGGUGACAGGGGCAGGACCUUAUGGCAAACCAAAUACCAUUGGUACAUGACCUUAGGGGGCGUGAGUGAAUGGUCUUGGAAUAAUCUCGUUGCUGAAACAGGUCCGGACUGGUCAAGUUACUCUAAGGGUAAGAGCGUCUUAUUAUGGCGAAGUAGGCUUACGUUAAUUAAACUACAAGUGGGGUUGAGACUGGUCAUUCCACCAGGCCAGGUGGAAAGUUGUCAAUCCUUUGUUUUGGCUCCAUGGAUGGACACUAGGGGAGCCCCAUUGUAUAUUUACUAUUUUAAAUGGCUGUUGAAUAUCUGUUUUGUGCGAGCACCCAUACCCUCUUCUGCCACUAAAAAGGAUGUUUUGCCCUAAACCAGUAUAUAAUGCUUAAAACCAGAAUAUACUCAUGUACCCAUAUGUUAUUCAUAGCCUAAGUUACAAGCACACACACUGCAGCAAUUAUGUAACCCGCACUGCAGAGACCUUGAAGGUUGGAGAGCAGAGAGGAGAAGUUUUAGAAGGGGAGCCAGGACAGGCAAAGAUAACAGUUACUGAAUGGAGACAAAAGGGAGAAUUGGACAUGUGGAAAAUGAAAGGGGAGCUCCUACAUGAUAAUGUCAGAACAGAAGGAUAAUAUACUAAUCUUACCUAAGUCAUUAUUUAGAGUAGGUAAGGUUGUUACCUGGGCAGAGCCAGGUAUCAAAAGGGGGAUGGGUAAAUUGUGGUCUAGGAUAGGAUGGGGCCUAUUGGAUAAGAAACUAAUAAUUUAAAGAAAUGUAGCUAACAAAUGGGCAUAGAAGUUAAAGAUAUAAUCAGAUAAAACAUAUGAGAAAUUGUUUGUUAACCAACCCUGUAUGCCCAGGAUUUUAUGCAUUACAGGUGAACUACAGGUGAAGUCACUCAAUCCAGUCCCAGAGGCUUGUUGGGGGGACCAUACCAAGGACUCCUGGUGACAGCUAGCUGAAAGAGCUACCCAGAUUCAUAUCGCACGGCGGGAGGGUAAGACACAUUGGCACUGUCGAACAAUAAACAGUGUUCGAGAGGAGAACUGGAAUUAACAGAAUUCUGGGGGCCAUCUCUCGAAUGAAGUAACCCUCCCUGUCCUGUCACCCCUGUUUUUGUUCAUAGAAGUGAAGAUGUGUCUGGCUCUUGCUAAGCGAUGUGUUCUCGGGGAGGGUGGGGCUUCAAAUGGAAGCUGUUCGUCUGAGCUAUCGUGGGUGACAUAUUCCUGAUACAGCAAGUCCUACUUGAGUAUGCGGAGAGUGGUAAUUUGACCCAUGGUUUAGACGAUGAGGAUUUUGUUCCAAAAUAAGCAUAAGAUAUCCCUAGAUCUGGGUAGACAGGAAGUUAGAGUAGAGAUUACAUGAUAACCGACUUCGGACAGUUCUAGGAUUGGAGAAGAGGGUAUCCUUAUAGCAUAGGGGAUCCCACCAAGGUGGAUAGGUUUUCCAUGAUAUGGGGAAAACCUGGGAGCACUGUUGAACUCUGUAAAGGUGAUGAAAUCCUACUAACCAUCAAAACUAUUAAGUUCUCUGAUGCAGGCACUUACACCCUCGGACUACAAAGGACGAGGACAGACACGAUGGGUGUGUUUUCUAUUAAGGUGCUGCCAAAACCAGAGGUCCCAGACGAACCAGAGCCAGACACACUCCUCUACCACCCCUGGACCGAACCUGCCACCACUGUGUUAAAAAUACCAUUCAGGUAAUUAAUGUUAGAGACUAUUCAGCUAUUGAUCAGUUAGGCACUGAGACUGGUUUUGAUGGUAGUGACAAUUUGUGGCUGUCCUAUAUGAGGUAUACAGCUAACACCCUGAGAAGAAAGGACUGCAUAAUUUGUAGUCAUGCUAGACCUGUUCUGACUACACACCCAUUUGCUAUAGGAGAAGGAGAGGGGUGGUUGUGUAUUCUGAGAAGUUUUCACCAGGUUCAGCCCAAUUCAACCCUCUGUUCCUCUUUGAGCCUUGUGUUUCCUGCAGUACCUCCUCAUCGGGCCUCUUGGGGUGUUGAGACAUAUGGGGGCAAUUACAGUUGCAUCACGGGUACAGGUAAUGGCAUUGAUUAUGGGAGAUUGCCUGAAGCUGAUUGCAGUAGUAACAUAACCAUUAAUUCCACUUGGCCAGUUACAGGCCUAAACCAAACUAGUGGUCUGGCUGAUGUGUGGUGGAUCUGUGGACCCAAAAGAGUGCUGAGACCCAUUCUUAGAGGAGAAUGGCAAGGUACAUGUGGUCUGACCAGUUUGAUAAUUCCACUGACCAUUGUUGAUGUUACUGCUGAACAGCUGCUGGGUUCUGUAUCCAGGGGACCUGAAAACAUUCCAUCCCAUGGGAGACAUAGACGUAGUGCUCCAUGGACAGAGGAUGUAGUUGACAUACACACUAACCUGUUGGGAGUGCCAGUGGGGGUUCAUCAUGAGUUUCAGGCCUUGGGUAGGAAUGAUGGACCCUGGCACUUACUACCUAUUAUGGGUCCAGCCAUAGUGGAUGCUAGACAGACUGCAUGGAUUAAUUAUAUCUACUAUAAUCAACAGUGUUUUGUGAAUUACUCCCGUGAUGCACUCACUGGUAUGUCUGAACAGCUUGAGGCCACAUCUAGGGUUGCCAGACAGAAUAGACUUGCUUUGGAUAUGCUUCUUGCCAGUCAGGGGGGCGUCUGCAAGAUGUUCGGUGAACAACGUUGCACGUUUAUUCCUAAUAACACCAGUCCUGAUGGUAGUAUAUCUAAGGCCCUUAGUGGGCUUGAUGCACUAUCUGCUGAGAUGAGGACCAUGGCGGGGGUGGAGGAGUCUGGACUGUUCUCUUGGUUGGGAGCCUGGUUUGGUAAGUACACUGGUAUGGUGGUUGCUGGAUUUCUGACCCUAAUUCUUGUAUUUUUGUUUUUGAUGUGCUGUGCUGCUUGCAUCAUACCGUAUUUUAAGAAGUCUGUUACAGAUGUGGUGAAGGCUUCAGGCAUGAUGCCUUUGCUUGAUGCUCCAGUUGGAGAUGCUGAUACUGAAGCAUGCUAUCAGGGGAGGAUGAGACUGACUGAGGAUGACCCAUGUAUGUUUGUUCUCCCUGUUGUGAAGGUUUGGAGUUCCUGGGUGGCAUGGUGCCCACCUGGUGCAGGAUAGGAGUAGCUGGGAGGACCAGAUGGUUUAUAAUAAUGCUUUGCUCUGCUUUACUCUGUUUUCCAGGACCAAAGUUUUAUCCUACAUCUUACAUGUCAAUAAACAAUAAAGUCUUAUCCUGUUUUUGUCAAAAGGGGAAAAAGGGGGAUUGUUGGAUCCUGUAUUUUACAUUAUAGCCAUUACCAUAUAUAUGAUUGAAUAUUAUCUGCUGUUGCCUUGUGUGGAUGUAUGUGUUGUGCAACAUAGCUGACUUGAAACAUUGUUAAAAGUUUCAAGGCCAUGGGCCUUUCUCAUGAUGGAAAAGUAGCAUGAAGACAGGAACUGUUCAAUGAGUUGGGAGGGGGCACAUUCAGAGCGGGGUGUUGCGAGAACAAGCGGUCUUUUGUUAGAUAACAGGAGCCAGGUGCGAGAUAACGGUAUGGAGCAUGAGAGCCUGGAUGUUCUUCACAAGCAAGUUAUCACAUCUCUUUGGAGAUGUGAAGAGAGGGAAUCACAACUUUUUCCUGCUGGAAAAAAGUUUGCUUAUGUGGACAAACAUUUUACUUUUAUUUUUGAGUUGUUGUUCUCCGCUCUGUUAAAUGAGGGUUUUGAGUUCCUAGGUGGCUGGUAGCCAACUUAGUACAUAGUGGGAUUGAAUGGAGGACAUGUAGGUAUUUUAAACCUUGUGACUAUUAUAUGAUUCAUUGCUGGUUUUGUAUUCACACCCUUGGGGUUAUUUUACAUUGUAGCCAUACCAUAUAUAUGAUUAACACAAACUUUUCCUUCUGGGAAAAGUUUUCUUUUUGUGUCUGGAUCCAGUUUAGGUUGUGUCACGUCUCUGGGGAGACGUGAAGAGAGGGAUUUGUAAAGAAAUGUUAAUUCUUAUGCAGGUGACCAACUUACUGCUAUUGCCUUGCUGUAACUGAGACAACACAUAGCAACGUAUUUUCACAGACUCACUUAAAUCAUCCUCAACACUGUCAAAAUAGGAUACAUCCUAGCCACAGGUGCUAGCCUUCAGUUCGGCCACAACAUCCAGUGAGGACACGAACGCACACACAUUACACACUAACUACCGAGGACAUACAGAUAAGACUCCUACACACAUUGGCAGGGAGAAACAGAAUAGGGAGAGACAACCUUGACUUGCAGAGACAAGCACACACACAUAAUCUCCCUCUUAGCUGAACAUUGUGUGACGGGGAAAGGCACGACGAGACUCAGAAGGAUGAUGCACGGCUCAACAGGACCAAUCCAAGAAGACAACACCUCAACUGUGACCAACCAGAACUUCCAGACUCAACCUACUUUCUGUACUGUAUAUAACAUGCUUACACUCUGUUAUCGGGGCUUCUUUCUGAUGGUUCCUUAGGAGCCGAAUGAACGGCCCCGUAUACGCUGUACCAGAUAUCUUUACUCUGAAUAAACUGCCACAUGUUAUACCUUUA